This 490-nucleotide ribosomal RNA is filed under the name uncultured bacterium. RNAcentral describes it as "partial 16S ribosomal RNA". It matches the Rfam family "Bacterial small subunit ribosomal RNA", at positions 30 to 507 of the family's 1533-position model. The record is from RNAcentral.
AUUGAACGCUGGCGGCAGGCUUAACACAUGCAAGUCGAGCGGUAGCGCAGUGGAGCUUGCUCCCUGGGUGACGAGCGGCGGACGGGUGAGUAAUGUCUGGGAAACUGCCUGAUGUAGGGGGAUAACUACUGGAAACGGUAGCGAAUACCGCAUAACGUCGCAAGACCAAAGAGGGGGACCUUCUGGCCUCUUGCCAUCAUAUGUGCCCAGAUGGGAUUAGCUAGUAGGUGGGGUAAUGGCUCACCUAGGCGACGAUCCCUAGCUGGUCUGAGAGGAUGACCAGCCACACUGGAACUGAGACACGGUCCAGACUCCUACGGGAGGCAGCAGUGGGGAAUAUUGCACAAUGGGCGCAAGCCUGAUGCAGCCAUGCCGCGUGUGUGAAGAAGGCCUUCGGGUUGUAAAGCACUUUCAGCGAGGAGGAAGGUGGUGAGCUUAAUACGUUCAUCAAUUGACGUUACUCGAAGAAGAAGCACCGGCUAACUCCGUG